GAUUACUGGCUCAGGAUGAACGCUGGCGGCGUGCUUCAUACAUGCAAGUCGAACGAGAAUUGGUAGCUUGCUACCAAGGAAAGUGGCGGACGGGUGAGUAAUACAUAGGGAAUCUGCCCUUAGCCGGGGGACAACAGUUGGAAACGACUGCUAAUACCGCAUAUGAGUAUGGUUGAGAUACUAUACUUGAAAACUCCGGUGGCUAAGGAUGAGCCUGUGCCUGAUUAGUUAGUUGGCGGGGUAAAGGCCCACCAAGGCGACGAUCAGUAGCUGGUUUGAGAGGAUGAUCAGCCACAAUGGGACUGAGACACGGCCCAUACUCCUACGGGAGGCAGCAGUAGGGAAUUUUGCGCAAUGGGCGAAAGCCUGACGCAGCAACGCCGCGUGUGUGAUGAAGCCCCUAGGGGUGUAAAACACUGUCAGUGGGGACGAAAGAUGACGGUACCCACAGAGGAAGCACCGGCUAACUCCGUGCCAGCCGCUGC
RNAcentral lists this ribosomal RNA (485 nucleotides) under uncultured bacterium. RNAcentral describes it as "bacterial SSU rRNA". It matches the Rfam family "Bacterial small subunit ribosomal RNA", at positions 15 to 518 of the family's 1533-position model. The record is from RNAcentral.